ACUCCAGAAAAUUUAGAUGAAAGAAUUCGGAGGAACUCUUGCUGUGAUAUGUUGCCGUAAAAGAUUCAUAUCACAGCAGUAGUUACCUGGUAUUCUUUCGCCUUUCUUCACCUUUACCAAGGAGC
Non-coding RNA from Apis mellifera (honey bee), 125 nucleotides. RefSeq annotates it as microRNA 2944. The transcript has a single exon. The record is from RefSeq and is marked provisional. Lineage: Eukaryota; Metazoa; Arthropoda; Insecta; Hymenoptera; Apidae.